UAUAGGUAGAGUUCACACCCGUGUAAAUAAGCUUAAAACGACCUGGACAGCUGCAACUGUGUGGUUUACGAUUGUGGUGUGUGGCGCCCCAGGAAUAUUGCGGUUUUCGUGUAAUAUAAUAUAAUGUAAAAGCUGUGAAAACCCUAAGACAUCAGGACGACGUGCAAGAUAACUGAGGCCUGAAGAACUAAAAUAUUACUACAUGGAAUAUCGAAUGAAAAAUGUAUUCGGUUAUAUUUAGAAAAUUAUUUCGUUAAAGUAAGCGAUUAGUAUAAGCCAACAACAUAUGAUAUAGAAAGAGUA
This is a non-coding RNA of Cinara cedri, 303 nucleotides long. The record is from the annotation of a GenBank genome assembly. Lineage: Eukaryota; Metazoa; Arthropoda; Insecta; Hemiptera; Aphididae.